GGGCCUUUAGCUCAGUUGGUUAGAGCAACCGGCUCAUAACCGGUCGGUCCCGGGUUCAAGUCCCUGAAGGCCCACCA
This 77-nucleotide transfer RNA is filed under the name Firmicutes bacterium CAG:103. Its description in RNAcentral is "transfer RNA-Met(CAT)". It matches the Rfam family "tRNA". From Rfam's summary of the family: Transfer RNA (tRNA) molecules are approximately 80 nucleotides in length. Their secondary structure includes four short double-helical elements and three loops (D, anti-codon, and T loops). Lineage: Bacteria; Bacillati; Bacillota. The record is from RNAcentral. RNAcentral also lists the same sequence under 9 other names.